CAGGAGGGGAAGACUACAAGUCCCGGCAUCCACCGCGCCGCCGUGUCCUGUCAAUUGUGUUUAUACAGCGUGCGGUGGACUAUGGACCGGACACAAGGGUCUGUAAUUACGGGCCGCUGGGGGACUACAAGUCUCAGGAUGAGUGACAAGUAAUAUGCCUGUCAAUACAGCUAACCAUGACGGUUCUUACCAAGCUUUCCCAGACUCCUGAAGGGCAUAUCUCCCUAGGACCGGUCAAUCAUCCCAUUUCUUGGCACCGAGCCGCCGCCACCGCCGUCUCCUCUACCCCCCGGCCCUGGAUGAAGUGCGGAGAACACGGACACUUUUUAAUAGAACAAUUCCAUCCCCCAGAAUCCUGAGCGCGGCAGCUGCCAAAAUAAACAGGAGCGGCGCAAACAUCUGGAGAUCAAUGAGCGCACUGUUAUUGUGCGUGCAGGGCGGGCAUCGGACUGGCAGCGCUCCAUGGGCCAACGCUCUGGUAUAUGUAUGUGUGCGCCAAUCCUGAAUGUCUCAUAACCCGUCACCUGCUGGCACUAGAGGGUGGUCUUACUGUGCGGGAGACACGUAUUGUGUGAACGGCACCUCACCUUGAACUACAAUUCCCAGCAUGCCCCCACAUGCGCACAUACGUGUAUGCACACCCUGGGUUUA
Molecule: long non-coding RNA, 651 nt
Organism: Hyla sarda
Lineage: Eukaryota; Metazoa; Chordata; Amphibia; Anura; Hylidae
Exons: 3
Source: RefSeq, a predicted model, not a curated record